RNAcentral lists this ribosomal RNA (469 nucleotides) under Gloeotulasnella cystidiophora. RNAcentral's name for it is "LSU rRNA". It matches the Rfam family "Bacterial large subunit ribosomal RNA", at positions 1724 to 2097 of the family's 2925-position model. The record is from RNAcentral. Lineage: Eukaryota; Fungi; Basidiomycota; Agaricomycetes; Cantharellales; Tulasnellaceae.
GUCUUCAUAAGUUUGACGAUAUGAAGGACCUUUACUUUUCAGAUACCUUUAUAUAUUUAUAUAUAAAAAAAUAAGAUUAAUAUACCCUCUUUAGAGGAUAGAAAAGUAAAAAGUUUUAUCUUAUUAAUUUUAGUUUGCUGAAAUUUGGAGGUGGCACAGAAUCGGAGGCCCCGACUGUUUACUUAAAACACAGAUAUCUGCAACGAUUAAUUUCUUUGUAUAGGUGUUGAAUUUUGCCCGAUGCCAUUAACAUAAAAUUGAUAAGCGCUGAGCGUGAUAAUUGAUUGAAAGUCUGGUCAAUGGCGGUCUUAUCCUGAGGAUCCUAAGGUAGCAAAAUUAAUUGUCCAUUAAAUGUGGUCCCGACUGAAUAAAGUAACGAUGGUCUCACUGUCUCUACAAGUAUCUCAGUGAAAUUGAAUUAGCCGUGCAGAUGCGGUUUGCCUCCAGGUAGACGGGAAGACCCUAUGCA